Molecule: ribosomal RNA, 202 nt
Filed under: uncultured bacterium
Lineage: Bacteria
Description: partial 16S ribosomal RNA
Rfam family: Bacterial small subunit ribosomal RNA
Source: RNAcentral
GCAGGCUGCAACCCGCCCUGCAUGAAGUUGGAAUCACUAGUAAUCGCGGAUCAGAAUGCCGCGGUGAAUACGUUCCCGGGUCUUGUACACACCGCCCGUCACACCAUGGGAGUCGGAAAUGCCCGAAGUCUGUGACCUAACCGUAAGGAAGGAGCAGCCGAAGGCAGGUCGGAUGACUGGGGUGAAGUCGUAACAAGGUAAC